This 522-nucleotide ribosomal RNA is filed under the name Escherichia coli. RNAcentral describes it as "partial 23S ribosomal RNA". It matches the Rfam family "Bacterial large subunit ribosomal RNA", at positions 1343 to 1850 of the family's 2925-position model. Lineage: Bacteria; Pseudomonadati; Pseudomonadota; Gammaproteobacteria; Enterobacterales; Enterobacteriaceae. The record is from RNAcentral.
GACCAAGGGUUCCUGUCCAACGUUAAUCGGGGCAGGGUGAGUCGACCCCUAAGGCGAGGCCGAAAGGCGUAGUCGAUGGGAAACAGGUUAAUAUUCCUGUACUUGGUGUUACUGCGAAGGGGGGACGGAGAAGGCUAUGUUGGCCGGGCGACGGUUGUCCCGGUUUAAGCGUGUAGGCUGGUUUUCCAGGCAAAUCCGGAAAAUCAAGGCUGAGGCGUGAUGACGAGGCACUACGGUGCUGAAGCAACAAAUGCCCUGCUUCCAGGAAAAGCCUCUAAGCAUCAGGUAACAUCAAAUCGUACCCCAAACCGACACAGGUGGUCAGGUAGAGAAUACCAAGGCGCUUGAGAGAACUCGGGUGAAGGAACUAGGCAAAAUGGUGCCGUAACUUCGGGAGAAGGCACGCUGAUAUGUAGGUGAAGUCCCUUGCGGAUGGAGCUGAAAUCAGUCGAAGAUACCAGCUGGCUGCAACUGUUUAUUAAAAACACAGCACUGUGCAAACACGAAAGUGGACGUAUACGG